Molecule: non-coding RNA, 29 nt
Filed under: Mus musculus (house mouse)
Lineage: Eukaryota; Metazoa; Chordata; Mammalia; Rodentia; Muridae
Source: RNAcentral
UCCACUCCAUGUGUAAAUAUCCCUGCCUC